This 422-nucleotide ribosomal RNA is filed under the name bacterium 28S323. Its description in RNAcentral is "bacterial SSU rRNA". It matches the Rfam family "Bacterial small subunit ribosomal RNA", at positions 1043 to 1467 of the family's 1533-position model. The record is from RNAcentral.
CAAUGGCGGUAGCACUCGUGUCGUGAGAUGUUGGGUUAAGUCCCGCAACGAGCGCAACCCUUUUCCUUAUUUGCCAGCGGGUUAAGCCGGGAACUUUAAGGAUACUGCCAGUGACAAACUGGAGGAAGGCGGGGACGACGUCAAGUCAUCAUGGCCCUUACGACCAGGGCUACACACGUGCUACAAUGGUCGGUACAAAGGGUUGCUACCUAGCGAUAGGAUGCUAAUCUCAAAAAGCCGAUCGUAGUCCGGAUUGGAGUCUGCAACUCGACUCCAUGAAGUCGGAAUCGCUAGUAAUCGCGGAUCAGAAUGCCGCGGUGAAUACGUUCCCGGGCCUUGUACACACCGCCCGUCACACCAUGGGAAUUUGUUGCACCAGAAGUAGGUAGUCUAACCGCAAGGAGGACGCUACCACGGGACCA